Molecule: long non-coding RNA, 736 nt
Filed under: Anser brachyrhynchus (Pink-footed goose)
Lineage: Eukaryota; Metazoa; Chordata; Aves; Anseriformes; Anatidae
Description: lncRNA (ENSABRG00000005744.1)
Source: RNAcentral
CCUCCGGGUGCCCCUGCACAUUGCUGCGUGGCUGGCAGAAGCUGGAGCCGGCAGUGGGAGUGAUGCAGCUGGCCUCCUGGAAAAAGGCAUCAUCCCACAGGCAGCUGCUCCGCACGUCCCGCGGAGCUGCCCCGUGCUCGCCGCGGGCAGGGAGGGCACACCAGAUUACCUGGAUCUGAGGACUUUCCCACAGACUGCACAUCCUGGGACCCUGGUCCUCCAAACCCCAGCCCUGGUGAUACCUCCCAGAGCAUCUCCACUAGCUCACAGGAUCGGCUGCUGGACCGUUAUCCGUGCUCCCUCAGGUAAGGGGCUAAGAAAGGGCUGAUCCUCAUGGUUUCUUCCUCCCCAGCUAGUCUGGGCUCACAGUUUUAAUGUGAAAAUGCUGUGGGUUAUUUCAGGAAUGGGAGGAAGACAUCUUUUACUCCAAUUUGGCAGGGGUCGCCUCCACUUAUUGCUCUGAGCUCCCCCCCCUGCUGCUCCAAAGGCUUUGAACCGGUUCAGAUCCCAUUAAUGCGGUUAACCAACAGCAGGGAAAAUGUAGGUUUAAUAUCAGGGGAAAUGUAGGGUGCCUGCUGGUGUUUAGGGCCUGAUUCUGUGGGACACUCAGGCUCUCCAUCACCCAGACAGCCCCUGUUUCAUGCAUGGGUGCCGUUCUUGAUAAACGCCCAACGCAAGGAGAAAGAGAAGCUCAAGUCAUGGAAACGAAGCAGCUCUGCUGGCCUCAGUGCCGCCA